RNAcentral lists this transfer RNA (76 nucleotides) under Pseudomonadota bacterium. Its description in RNAcentral is "tRNA-Met". It matches the Rfam family "tRNA". From Rfam's summary of the family: Transfer RNA (tRNA) molecules are approximately 80 nucleotides in length. Their secondary structure includes four short double-helical elements and three loops (D, anti-codon, and T loops). Lineage: Bacteria; Pseudomonadati; Pseudomonadota. RNAcentral also lists the same sequence under 2 other names. The record is from RNAcentral.
GGCGGUGUAGCUCAGUUGGUAGAGCAGCGGAAUCAUAAUCCGCGUGUCGGGGGUUCGAAUCCCUCCACCGCUACCA